RNAcentral lists this microRNA precursor (204 nucleotides) under Oryza nivara. Its description in RNAcentral is "MIR812 microRNA precursor family". It matches the Rfam family "MIR812 microRNA precursor family". Lineage: Eukaryota; Viridiplantae; Streptophyta; Magnoliopsida; Poales; Poaceae. The record is from Rfam by way of RNAcentral.
AAUGUAUGACGCCGUUGAUUUUUUAUCCAACGUUUGAUCAUUCGUCUUAUUUAAAAAAUUUAUGUAAUUAUCAUUUAUUUUAUUAUGAGUUGAUUCGUCAUCAAAUGUUCUUCAAGCAUGACAUAAAUAUUUUUAUAUUUACACAAAAUUUUUAAAUAAAACGAAUGGUCAAACGUUGAUCGAAAAGUCAACGACGUCAUUCAU